Molecule: non-coding RNA, 489 nt
Organism: Hemibagrus wyckioides
Lineage: Eukaryota; Metazoa; Chordata; Actinopteri; Siluriformes; Bagridae
Source: the annotation of a RefSeq genome assembly
AUGAGCUGGUCUUUUCUUCUUCUUUUGAUAUCCUUUGUUCCUUAUGUGUGUUGCAUCAGUCUGACCUCGUCUCCUGAUGAGGUUAAAUCUCCCGGAGCCUCCGUGAAGUUGUCCUGUCAGAUUUCUGGCUAUGCCCUCACUGACUAUGGAACAGUCUGGAUCAAGCAAGCUCCAGGAAAAGCCUUCGAGUGGAUCGGGAUCAUAUGGGGUGGUGGAAGCAUAGACUAUGGAGCUUCCUUUAAAACUCGUUUCAGCAUCUCCAGAGACACAAGCAACAAUGUGCUUUACUUACAUAUCAGCAGCCUGGUGUCAGAGGACACGGCUGUUUACUACUGUGCAAAGACAGACACAGCUGUACAGCUCAGUGCUAGAGAUUCUUAUGGACAGUCCCUGACCUCAUCUGCUUCUGUGGUGAAGAAACCAGGAGAAUCGGUCACUCUGUCCUGCACCAUGUCUGGACUCUCCCUUAGCUGGCUGCACUGGAUCUGA